UUGACUGGAGUUUGGCAGGGGGCUACUGGAAUUCUGCAUGUAGGGGUAAAAUCCGUUGAUAUGCAGAGGAACACCAAAAGCGAAGGCAGGUAGCUGGGCCAUUACUGACACUGAGGAACGAAAGCGUGGGGAGCAAACAGGAUUAGAUACCCUGGUAGUCCACGCCGUAAACGAUGGAUACUCGAUGUGGGAGGGACUCGACCCCCUUCCGUGUCUAAGCUAACGCGUUAAGUAUCCCGCCUGGGGAGUACGGUCGCAAGAUUAAAACUCAAAGGAAUAGACGGGGACCCACACAAGCGGUGGAGCAUGUGGUUUAAUUCGACGAUAAACGGAGGACCUCACCAAGGCUUGACAUCCCGAGAACUUUCCCGAAAGGGAUUGGUGCCGUAAGGAACUCGGUGACAGGUGCUGCAUGGUCGUCGUCAGCUCGUGCCUUGAGGUGUUCGGUUAAGUCCGUAAACGAGCGCAACCCAUGUCCUAUGUUGCAUUUUUCAUAGGAGACUGCCGGCUCUAAGUCGGAGGAAGGUAUGGAUGACGUCAGAUCAGCAUGGCCCUUAUGUCUUGGGCUACACACGUGCUACAAUGGCCGGUACAAUGGGCAGCCAACCCGCGAGGGGGAGCAAAUCCCAUCAAAGCCGGUCUCAGUUCGGAUUGAAGUCUGCAACUCGACUUCAUGAAGUUGGAAUCGCUAGUAACCGCGAAUCAGAUAUGUCGCGGUGAAUAUGUUCCUGGGUCUUGUACUCACCGCCCGUCACAUCAUGAAAGGAGGGGGUGCCCGAAGUCGCUUUAGUCUCUCGAGACGAGUGCCUAAGGUAAAACCUCUGAUUGGGAUGAAGUCGUAACAAGGUA
This 849-nucleotide ribosomal RNA is filed under the name uncultured deep-sea bacterium. RNAcentral describes it as "bacterial SSU rRNA". It matches the Rfam family "Bacterial small subunit ribosomal RNA", at positions 637 to 1498 of the family's 1533-position model. The record is from RNAcentral.